CUCCCUCCCCACCACCCAAGACAAAAGCAAGUGGAAAAAGAAAGUUAAGAGUCUUAAGACACACCAAAAAGAAAUGGGAAGAACUAAAGAAAGGUGUAUUCACAAUCUCACGCUACAAACCAAGUUUCUUUUAAACACCUACAAAUCAUAAAAAAGAAGAAGGGGGACUCCUCAAAUGGAGCCAAGAGAAAAUCCAGGAAUG
RNAcentral lists this long non-coding RNA (202 nucleotides) under Nicotiana benthamiana. Its description in RNAcentral is "long non-coding RNA (NBEN_LNC002596)". The record is from RNAcentral. Lineage: Eukaryota; Viridiplantae; Streptophyta; Magnoliopsida; Solanales; Solanaceae.